This 84-nucleotide microRNA precursor is filed under the name Pteropus vampyrus (large flying fox). Its description in RNAcentral is "miRNA (ENSPVAG00000029186.1)". The record is from RNAcentral. Lineage: Eukaryota; Metazoa; Chordata; Mammalia; Chiroptera; Pteropodidae.
UAAGGUGACCAACAAUCCUGGUUUGCCUGGGACCGAGUGGGUUUCCCAGGAUACAGAACUUUCAGUGUUAACACUGGCACAGUC